CAUGUCCGGUGGCGACGUGCAAAAUUGGCGGCAAAAAACAUCUUGCAAUGUGGUGGAGUCGCGGUUCCUCUCUUGUCAGUCCCCGAUACACCGUUCUGUCAACAAUUAAGAUGUGAUGGAUAUUCAGAGCUACUAAGGUUCGUCGUAGUUUUACCGUUUGGUCUCGAUUUAGUAAUCAGUCAGUUUAGGACAGGUUUUCAACAGGUUGUGGGUUUAUUUUUGUGACUUCCCUCUUAGUUAAAUUAGUUUGUGUAGUUUAG
RNAcentral lists this long non-coding RNA (260 nucleotides) under Brassica rapa (field mustard). Its description in RNAcentral is "long non-coding RNA (BRAP_LNC003432)". The record is from RNAcentral. Lineage: Eukaryota; Viridiplantae; Streptophyta; Magnoliopsida; Brassicales; Brassicaceae.